RNAcentral lists this ribosomal RNA (271 nucleotides) under uncultured prokaryote. RNAcentral's name for it is "partial 16S ribosomal RNA". It matches the Rfam family "Bacterial small subunit ribosomal RNA", at positions 524 to 794 of the family's 1533-position model. The record is from RNAcentral.
UACGGAGGAUGCAAGCGUUAUCCGGAUUUAUUGGGUUUAAAGGGUGCGUAGGCGGGAAAAUAAGUCAGUGGUGAAAUCCUACAGCUUAACUGUAGAAUUGCCGUUGAUACUGUUUUUCUUGAGUAUGGUCAAGGAAGGCGGAAUGUGUAAUGUAGCGGUGAAAUGCUUAGAUAUUACACAGAACACCAAUUGCGAAGGCAGCUUUCUGGCCCAUUACUGACGCUGAGGCACGAAAGCGUGGGGAUCGAACAGGAUUAGAUACCCCGGUAGU